This 197-nucleotide long non-coding RNA is filed under the name Dasypus novemcinctus (nine-banded armadillo). Its description in RNAcentral is "ZNFX1 antisense RNA 1 conserved region 1 (ENSDNOG00000032310.1)". It matches the Rfam family "ZNFX1 antisense RNA 1 conserved region 1". Lineage: Eukaryota; Metazoa; Chordata; Mammalia; Cingulata; Dasypodidae. The record is from RNAcentral.
GCCGACGAGGCCGGGGACCCGGCGUGUAGGGGAGGGGGCGGGGCUAGGCGCGGCCUUGACAACCAUCACAGCGCCUCGGGCCGGGAGGCCGGGAGACUACGUUUCCCAGGGGGUCCCUCGCGGUGGAGAAGGGACGGGGAAGCGCCUUGGGCCCAGCGCGCAGACGUGAGAGCUGCCUCUGACUAUAUAAGGGCCGU